GCCUGUGCUCCGCAAUGGGAGAGGCCACAGCAGUGAGAGGCCCGCGUACCGAAAAAAAAAAAAAAAGAAAGAAAGAAAUUGAAUUAGAACUAUCAUCUCCUGAUAAACUCUGAAUUGUCUUUCUCAUUUUUCCCUCAUUAUUACUUAGCCCAGGGCCUGUUCUGUUGAAUGGAAUUAAGUAAAUAUUUAAAAUCUCUAGGUCAGGAAUUAGCAAAUUAUAAUUUAUAAUUAGCAAAUUAUAAAUUUUCACAGGCCAAAUUCAGUGAUCAUCUGCUUUUGUAAAUAAAGUUUUAAUGAAACGCAGCCACAGCCGCUCAUCUAAGAAUUACCCGCUCUUCUGCCGUAACAAUUGAGCUGAGUCAUGAGCACAGCUGUGUGGCCCACAAAGGGAAACAUCCACAAACCCCUGCCCGCUCCAUCCAUGUAAGACCAGUUGCGCCAGGAACUAAAGCUUGAAGAACACACUAAAUUCUCUUGUUACUUUUCCUCACACAAAUUUCAUGAAACUGGAUUUUUACAACAAAAACAGGCCAUGCUAAGCCAUUCUUCAAUGUCUUAAUUAUAGAAAUUGUAACUUACUAUACGUCAGUGGAUGGAAAUCAGCAGCCCAAACUGUACAUACUGACUUACACACUUGAUGUACCUUCUCAGAGCUGAGAAAUAUCUAUUGGAAAAACGUACUGUCGGAGCUCCCCAUUCUGAGAGGGAAAAAAAAAGAGUGCUUUUCAAGGUUAGCAGUUUACUGCCUCAAGGUCAAUUUUGCGGGUUAAUUUUGCUUGAAACUAAGCAUAUUAUAAACAUUUAACAUGUCUUCCUGACCUGGAACCAAUCAGGGGCCAAGCUUUGAAAACUCUAAGGAACGGCAUCCAGUUUCUAAGUGUAAUUACGGGCUUUGUAAUUGCCCAUUAGCUCCGAGUCACAAGAAGUACGGUCCAGACCAGACAGGUCCUUAUAUUGAUACACAGAAAAUACUCAGCCUCAGUUUGAGCCCUCACAAAGCAUAUCUUCUGGCUGAACAAGGUCACCAGCAGCACCCCCAGGAAGCGGGCAACACCAGAGAACGGCACCUGCUCUUUGCAUCACGGGAUUCAAGCUGGAUGGUCCAGGAGGAAGGAAGCUUCAAAUCUCAGCCUCGACUGGAGGGCUGGCGAGAAUGGGAUGAUUCGAAAGGGAGCAGAAGAUCGAAGAGGACGAACAGAAACAUCUGGAUGGUCCAAGCGCCAGCAGAGGAAGGAGGCCCCGGCACCAGAAAGCCCCGCCUGGCUGCAGUUUAGCGUUGCCGAGGUUCGUGUUGCCGGCAGGCUCCCCCACUGGGCUCACCCACCGCCUCCUGGGGCCUCUCUGCUUUCUUGAGACAAGUUCAGGUUCUCGUCUCCAGGGUCGCUUCCUGGUCGUGGGUCUUCCGGGCCUGGGGAGCUUGCACCCUCGAUGCAUCGCUUCCGGGAGGGAGAGGAGCACGGCUCGGCUCAGGAGGAGCGAGAAAGGAAAGAGGGCUGCUUCUUGCUGUUUAAACAGAUGAUCUGCCGGUAGGAAGUUUCAGCCGCAGCUGCUUCCUGCUUUGAAUACCAGCCUCACAGAGUUUAUUUAAGUAGGAUUUUUCCGCAACCUGUGAAGCGCAAUUCCGAAGGCACAGAGGAGAAGCACCUCAGUCCGCACAAUGUGGUCGAGUGCCAAGUGCCACAGAAUGUCCCGCAGAGGCCACGGGGGAGUGACCCCUGGGGAAACGGUGCUCCAAGCUUGAUGUACUGUAACGUCGUAGGAAAGAGAAAGAAGUGCCACAAAUGAGAAAAUACAAACGCGGUCUUGUCACGGAUGGAGCUAGUGUAACCCUGGGAGACAGGAGGCUGCGGAAGAGCCUCCUGGGGAGGGGUCGGAGGUACUGAGACGGCUGAAGAAUAGAAGGAAGAAGAUGCAGACGCAGAAAUGCCCUCUGGCCGAGUCAGCAAGGAGGGCACCACCAGGAGCACCAGUUAUAUACACGUUAUUUUCCCAUCGUCUCCACAUCAUUCCCUGGCCCCCGAGUCACUUAACCGCUUUGCACUGUGCAUGCCCAGCAUCCUGAGUGACUUCAGGUUUGCUCCCCGUGUCCAGGACAGCAUUUCCCACCUGCUUCUCCUACUUCUGAUGGCUUCUGUUGGAGCUUUCACCUCCUGGCUUCUUCCUCCUUCAUCCACUCCUGAUCCUCUGUCCUUGUCCUGCAGUCUCUCCUUGGAGCCCUUACUGCUCUUCCUUCUGCUUUUUUCCUAGGAGAGCUUGUCUUGACUCUAAGUUUGUUUAGUGAUGUUAUUUCUUUGAAUGAUUUCUUAUUUCUUUGUCUUUUUGCAAUUUUGAAAAAAAAUUAAAGAUACAGGAAAAGUAUAAAGAAUUUUUACAAAACACAUUGUGUUUCCAUAACCCAAAUUUAACUAUAUAUUUUGUCAUA
This is a long non-coding RNA of Physeter macrocephalus (sperm whale), 2422 nucleotides long. RefSeq lists it as uncharacterized. The record is from RefSeq and is a predicted model, not a curated record. The transcript is spliced from 3 exons. NCBI's taxonomy places the organism in Eukaryota, Metazoa, Chordata, Mammalia, Artiodactyla, Physeteridae.